This 120-nucleotide ribosomal RNA is filed under the name Colletotrichum sublineola. Lineage: Eukaryota; Fungi; Ascomycota; Sordariomycetes; Glomerellales; Glomerellaceae. The record is from RNAcentral.
ACAUACGACCAAACCCACAGGGAAACUCGGGAUCCCGUCCGCUCUCCCAUAGAUAAGCCAGUGAUGGCCGGAUUAGUAUUUGGAUCGGUGACGACCAGCGAAUACCUGGUGUUGUAUGUC